UGAGGAAUAUUGGUCAAUGGACGAGAGUCUGAACCAGCCAAGUAGCGUGCAGGAUGACGGCCCUAUGGGUUGUAAACUGCUUUUGUUUGGGAAUAAUCGACAUUACGUGUAAUGUUUUGCAUGUACCAUUCGAAUAAGGACCGGCUAAUUCCGUGCCAGCAGCCGCGGUAAUACGGAAGGUCCGGGCGUUAUCCGGAUUUAUUGGGUUUAAAGGGAGCGUAGGCUGUCUAUUAAGCGUGUUGUGAAAUUUACCGGCUCAACCGGUGGCUUGCAGCGCGAACUGGUCGACUUGAGUAUGCAGGAAGUAGGCGGAAUUCAUGGUGUAGAGGUGAAAUGCUUAGAUAUCAUGACGAACUCCGAUUGCGCAGGCAGCUUACUGUAGCAUAACUGACGCUGAUGCUCGAAAGUGCGGGUAUCAAACAGG
RNAcentral lists this ribosomal RNA (424 nucleotides) under Verrucomicrobiota bacterium. RNAcentral describes it as "Verrucomicrobia bacterium partial 16S ribosomal RNA". It matches the Rfam family "Bacterial small subunit ribosomal RNA", at positions 355 to 776 of the family's 1533-position model. Lineage: Bacteria; Pseudomonadati; Verrucomicrobiota. The record is from RNAcentral.